Molecule: long non-coding RNA, 1139 nt
Filed under: Cottoperca gobio
Lineage: Eukaryota; Metazoa; Chordata; Actinopteri; Perciformes; Bovichtidae
Description: lncRNA (ENSCGOG00000013588.1)
Source: RNAcentral
CAAAGAUCUCCUCCUGCCAGAAGAGCUCAUGGUUGUUGAUUACCUGCCGUACUUUAAGAGACAUUUACCCACGCUGAAAGCCAAACUGUCCAGGCUGCGGACGCUCUCUGUGGCCUGACCCUCUGCUGAGCGUUAUGGGAAAAAACAUCUCUGAGGACGCCAUAUUGAGACACUGCGCGUCUUAUGAACCCCCCCCUGAUGUGCACACCUCUGACAUUCAGACGUGUGCAAACAUUCACGAGGAGUUUGGUAAAGAGUCACUGAUGAAAGAAGAGUCUCUGCUGCUGCUGGUUGUAGUGGACACACUGAAGCUGAGCCAAGAAAACGGCACCGCGUUUUCAAGCAUUUGUGGUCAAAUGGACGUUGCUCCUGAACAGCUGCAUGAGCAGCGUCCAGUCCUGGAUGUGCUUCAUGAGGCUUCCCUUUCAGAUGUAUCGGUGGACAUUUCCCAGUAUGACGUGCCACAGGAGUCCGGCAAGAAGGGCAACAUGAAUGGAGGCCUGACGGAGACGGCAGGACGAGCGAUGCUUCCGACUGAAAUGGAGCUGGACGUGACUUUGACGCCGAGUCCCAAGACGAGUCAAACCCAAAUCUGUCCGUCCACACGUGAACUCCAGCAGGAAGAGCCGUCAGCGCUCAGCAGACUAUCUUUGGUGUCAGCGAGCGCUCAGGAAGAGAUGGAGACGGCACUUUGGAAGGCGGAGAAGCAUCCAGCCUUUGUGGUGGGCUUUCUGUUGGCAGAGCCUCAAAUAUAUGAACCAGCUGUCGACUUCCAGCCGCUGUCUGAAGCCUUGAGAGUCGUGAAGUCUGAGAAUCAAAGCUUCGUCUGCGUUGGUGACAAACUGCAGUCCCAGGUGGAGACGGGAGCCCCGCCGGUGUAUCUGUGCAGCAGCCGUGAGUUCACAGAGAGCAUGAGGUCCGAGGUUCCCUCCAGCACGGAGGUGAAGAUGGAAGACUUCAAAAGACUGUCACCUGAACAUGUGGACAUCUCAGUCAGAUCCGUCCCGAUGAAUCCAACAAACCAAACUCGGUUCCCUCACCCGAAGAAAUGUGAAACUGCUGCUUUUCACACUGAAGCUCCUGCGGACGACUCACACCUUCAAAAAGAGGAGUCGAUGAAGGAAAUGAAAGAAGAUUGA